RNAcentral lists this ribosomal RNA (315 nucleotides) under uncultured eukaryote. Its description in RNAcentral is "partial 18S ribosomal RNA". It matches the Rfam family "Eukaryotic small subunit ribosomal RNA", at positions 1470 to 1796 of the family's 1831-position model. The record is from RNAcentral.
CCCUUAGACGUUCUGGGCCGCACGCGCGCUACACUGACCAGUGCAACAAGCAUCCGUCCUUGGCCGACAGGCCCGGGCAAUCUUUGAACGCUGGUCGUGAUGGGGAUAGACUCUUGCAAUUUUUGGUCUUCAACGAGGAAUUCCUAGUAAACGCAAGUCAUCAACUUGCAUUGAUUACGUCCCUGCCCUUUGUACACACCGCCCGUCGCACCUACCGAUUGAAUGGUCCGGUGAAGCCUCCGGAUUGGCGCGCACCUCGGUGCCGCCGAGAAGUUGGCUAAACCUUACCAUUUAGAGGAAGGUGAAGUCGUAACA